RNAcentral lists this ribosomal RNA (453 nucleotides) under uncultured bacterium. RNAcentral describes it as "bacterial SSU rRNA". It matches the Rfam family "Bacterial small subunit ribosomal RNA", at positions 30 to 476 of the family's 1533-position model. The record is from RNAcentral.
AUUGAACGCUGGCGGCAGGCCUAACACAUGCAAGUCGAGCGGAUGAGUGGAGCUUGCUCCAUGAUUCAGCGGCGGACGGGUGAGUAAUGCCUAGGAAUCUGCCUGGUAGUGGGGGACAACGUUUCGAAAGGAACGCUAAUACCGCAUACGUCCUACGGGAGAAAGCAGGGGACCUUCGGGCCUUGCGCUAUCAGAUGAGCCUAGGUCGGAUUAGCUAGUAGGUGAGGUAAUGGCUCACCUAGGCGACGAUCCGUAACUGGUCUGAGAGGAUGAUCAGUCACACUGGAACUGAGACACGGUCCAGACUCCUACGGGAGGCAGCAGUGGGGAAUAUUGGACAAUGGGCGAAAGCCUGAUCCAGCCAUGCCGCGUGUGUGAAGAAGGUCCUUCGGAUUGUAAAGCACUUUAAGUUGGGAGGAAGGGCAGUAAGUUAAUACCUUGCUGUUUGUACGU